This 429-nucleotide ribosomal RNA is filed under the name uncultured bacterium. Its description in RNAcentral is "bacterial SSU rRNA". It matches the Rfam family "Bacterial small subunit ribosomal RNA", at positions 355 to 775 of the family's 1533-position model. The record is from RNAcentral.
UGGGGAAUUGUUCACAAUGGGCGCAAGCCUGAUGACGCAACGCCGCGUGGGGGAUGAAGGCCUUCGGGUCGUAAACCCCUGUCGAAUGGGACGAAUAGCCCGGGUACUAACAAGGCCCGGGAAUGACGGUACCGUUAAAGGAAGCCACGGCUAACUCUGUGCCAGCAGCCGCGGUAAUACAGAGGUGGCAAGCGUUGUUCGGAAUUACUGGGCGUAAAGGGCGCGUAGGCGGCCCACUAAGUCAGACGUGAAAUCCCCCGGCUUAACCUGGGAACUGCGUCUGAUACUGGAGGGCUUGAGUAUGGGAGAGGGAUGUAGAAUUCCAGGUGUAGCGGUGAAAUGCGUAGAUAUCUGGAGGAAUACCGGUGGCGAAGGCGGCAUCCUGGACCAUUACUGACGCUGAGGCGCGAAAGCUAGGGGAGCAAACGG